CGCACGGCGACCGUUGGUUCGUCGGACGCCUUGGCUCCCGCCCGUGUUCGCGAGUUAUUUUAAAAUCAAGAUACAUCCUGAACUGUUGAGUAUUCCAGCAUUUUCUGUUUUCAUUUUUGAUUUCCAACAUUUCAGAUUCAUCUCUGGACAGAGAAACAAUUGUUGUUUCAAGUCCAGAUUUUUCAUCAGACCUUUCAGAUCUCCAACAUCUGCAGAUUUUUGAUGCAUAGGAAUUGUUCUUGUACCUCUGUUUAAAAAGAAUUCUGAAUCAUGUUUUUGGAUUGCUCCAGGGCCCUCCCUGUGUCGAUACAGGCUAUCCCCGGCUUAUGAAUGCCUGACUUAUGGACACCCCUACUACAUAUGAGUUCCCACCUGCUUGAAGAAGACCACUAUCAUCCCGAUACCCAAGAAAAAUAAGGAAAUGUGCUUUAAUGACUACCACCCAGUGCUCUGACAUCCACCAUCAUCUUUGAGAGGCUGGUCAUGGCACACAUCAACUCCAGCCUCCCAGGCAACCUCGACCAACUGCAGUUUGCCUACCACUGAAACAGGUCCAUGGUAGACACUAUCUCCCUGGCCUUGCACUCAUCUCUGGAGCAUCUAGACGGUAAAGACACUUUUAGACUAUUGAUUAUUGGCUACAGCUCUGCCUUCAGUACUAUAAUUCCAAGCAAUCUCAUCUCCAAACUCCAAGGCCUGGGACGCAACACCUCCCUUUGCAACUGGAUCCUUGACUUCUUGACCAACAGUCCGCAAUCAGUAAGGAUAGGCAGCAACACAUCUGCCAUGAUUAUCCUCAAUACUGGUGCCCCAUGAGGCUGUGACCUCAGCCCCCUACUCUCUAUACACUCAUGACUGCGUGGUCAGAGUCUGCUCUAAAAAGUUUGCAAAUUUAGUGGGCUGAAUCUCAAAUAACGAGUAGUCAGAGCAUGCCUAGUGGCACAGUAUCACGAUGGCAACCUUUUCUUCAAUGAAAAACACGGUGAUGCUGGAGGAACUCAGCAGGCCAGGCAGCAUCUGUGGAGAAAAGCAGGCAGUCAACGUUUCGGGUCAGGACCCUUCUUCAGGACUGAAGGUGCUCUGGUUUCCUCCCACAUUCCAAAGGCGUACGGGUUAGGAAGUCGUGGGCGUGCUAUGUUGGCGCCGGAAGUGUGGCGACACUUGCAGGCUGCCCCCAGAACAUUCUACGCAAAAGAUGGAUUUCACUGUGUGUUUCGAUGUACAUGCGACUGAUGAAGAAAUCUGAUCUUAUACUUACUGUCCAAGUAAGUGUAAUUCUCUUUCAGCCACAUUUCUCAUCUGAGUGAACUGCAACGUCCACAGGCCAAACCUCCAGAAAUAACUUUGCACAAGAGAGAAGUUUGCAUGACGACAACCCUCAGGAACUCUUUCCAAUCCUGCAGAGAAGCAGCUUGGUGUUUCUUCACAAGCCUGGGGACGGGACCUGCAAUAUCAGUGGA
This is a long non-coding RNA of Pristis pectinata (smalltooth sawfish), 1460 nucleotides long. RefSeq lists it as uncharacterized. The record is from RefSeq and is a predicted model, not a curated record. The transcript is spliced from 4 exons. Lineage: Eukaryota; Metazoa; Chordata; Chondrichthyes; Rhinopristiformes; Pristidae.